RNAcentral lists this transfer RNA (73 nucleotides) under Actinoplanes ianthinogenes. RNAcentral's name for it is "tRNA-Met". Lineage: Bacteria; Bacillati; Actinomycetota; Actinomycetes; Micromonosporales; Micromonosporaceae. The record is from RNAcentral.
CGCAGGCGGGCCGGCUGCCCACCCGCCCCUCAUAAGGGUGGUUCGCCCGGAUCGACACCGGGGCCUGCGACCA